RNAcentral lists this ribosomal RNA (468 nucleotides) under uncultured bacterium. RNAcentral describes it as "partial 16S ribosomal RNA". It matches the Rfam family "Bacterial small subunit ribosomal RNA", at positions 28 to 507 of the family's 1533-position model. The record is from RNAcentral.
GACGAACGCUGGCGGCGUGCUUAACACAUGCAAGUCGAACGGAAAGGCCCUGCUUUUGUGGGGUGCUCGUGUGGCGAACGGGUGUGUAACACGCGGGUAUCCUGCCCUUGACUUUGGGAUAACUUCAGGAAACUGGGGCUAAUACCGGAUAGGAGCUCCUGCUGCAUGGUGGGGGUUGGAAAGUUUCGGAGGUUGGGGAUCGACUCGCGGCUUAUCAGCUUGUUGGUGGGGUAGUGGCUUACGAAGGGUUUGACGGGUAGCCGGCCUGAGAGGGUGACCGGCGACAAUGGGACUAAGAUACGGCGCAGACGGCUACGGGAGGCAGCAGUGGGGAAUAUUGCGCAGUAGGCGGAAGCGUGAUGCGGCAGCGCCGGGUGCGGGAUGACGGCCUUCGGGUUGUAAACCGCUUUGGCAUGAGACGAAGCGAGAGUGACGGUAAUGGGUAAAGAAGCACCGGCUAACUACGUG